GCUGCAGCUCCAAGAAAGCAUCCGCAGCCUUGUAGGGCUGGGGGAGUCAAGCCCUCUGGGUGCGUGGGGGGCUCACCCAGUAAAAAGUGGCUGAGGAACGCUGGGAAGCUGCUCAUCUGAACACAGGGUGAAAAGCAGGGUCGUGCUGGCAGCAGGGAAGCACUUGUUGCAGUGGCGUUUGGGUGUAUCGGUGGUUGGGUGCUGGUGUAACCGAUCCCUGGUGGGAAGCGGAGGUCCUGCCAGGGCUGGUGGGGUGCUGUUCCUUGAACUGACGCACACGGAGCAGGAAACGGGUUUGUUGCUUCCCUGAACGUCUCUUUGCAGCGGAAGUCCUGCUCCAGGCUGAGGAGCAGAAGCUCUAGCUCGCACCUUCAGCGUUAGGCUAGGCGGUGAAACCAAGCCCUGCUCACCUGCCCGUAACCCCUGCAGCAGAUCCCGGCGCUGCACGUCCUCGGCUUUCCCUCUGAAUGAUCCUUUGUGUAGCGCCGGGGCUCUGGAAGGCACGAGCUGCCCAAAGUCGAGCGGCACUUCCCUCUACGCAGCUGAGAGCAGGCUGAGGUUUUAACACAGAGCUUUGUGUCCCCGCUGCCUUCCCCCCGGGCUCCCAGCAGCUGUCUGACGCAGCUUUUGGCUUUGACUUUUUCCAUUGCUGGGCUCCGCAUUUGUCUCCAGUUUCCACCACGUGCAGGUGUCCUGCAUUACGCCUCGGAGCGUUAACUGUGGCUGCGCUGGGGAGGCUGGCAGCGUCCCCAGGACGCCUGCUCAGUUUCAGCAAGAGCGUGGAGCUGUUUGGAAACAUCUGGAUCCGGGGCGCCGAGUGGAAGGUGUGGCCUUGCGAAAGCAGAGGUUUAUGACACUGAAGGGGCUCCUCUUUGGUAGCUGUGCUCCGUGUGUGUAGCUGUGAGUCUUUAGCUGGGAUUCACUUCUCUUCGCGGAGUAAAGCAGCUGGAGGAGCGUUUUUGUGGGAGAUUUGUGCUGAAACGUGGAAGUCUCCUUGAUCUCGCACUCGGUCCCUGCCUGGUAAACCCUGAGGAGACGGCUGGCACUCGCUGAAGGAAGCGGGGCUGUGCCGUCCCUGCCCACCCGGGGGUUCCCGGCUUUGUUCUAUUUAUUGAGCAGCGACUCCGACACCCUUUGCCAGGCUGUGACUCACGGCAGCAACGCCUGUGCAUGAGGCAUGCCUCUCAGAGCCCCCUACAGAUACGGAGCUGCAGGAUCCUCGCAGGAGCCGGCCGUGGUUGUGUUUCCUCCCUCGAGGCAGCAGCUAGCUGAGGCUGAGCAGUGACUCAGUACCGGUGAGAUAAAUAACGGCCCACCCCCGGUCAGCGGCUCCAACAGCCCUUCUGCGAGCGACCCCAGGCACUGCGCUUACCCGAGGUGUUGGUGCCGAGCAGGGGCCGCGAGGGAAGGGCCGCGGGCAGGGCAGGGCAGGGCAGGCGGUGGCAUCACCCAGCGCCGUGCUGGGCCGGGUUUCCCCUGCACAGCUAAAUCCCGCUGCAGGGAGGGGAGCAGAGGACGGGGAUGGCCGUAAAGCAGAAGGCCCCAUCCGGACCGUCUCAAACACGGCAGGUCCACGUCGACCCGUACAGAUUGCCCUGGGCGGCAUCCAGAUGUAUCUUUUGGCUUUUGAGCCUCUGGCUUCCUUCUUUCCGGCCUCUCCUCUGAGACCUGCUCUGUGCUUCGGGCACGGCCCUGCCGGGCCUGAUGCCGUCCUGUCCCUUCCCCUGCCUGCAGCCCGAGCAGGGACAGGCCCAGGCUCCGAUGCUGAGCAGGAUUUGGCCCUGGGUUAAGCCCGAGGGACAGUUUCAUCUGGCCCUGGCGUGGCUCCUUUUCCCUUGCCUGUGGAAGCGGGCUGUUUUAGUGGCCUCAGGGGAACGGCCUGGCCCUGCUGGGCGGGCAGAGGGGUUUAUAGGAGAGGUGCAAGCACCCCGUGCAACACCCCCCUGCAUUUCAACAUGUGCGCGGCCUUUCCUUUCGCCUCCUUCCAGCCCGGCUGUGAAUGGAGCGCUUUAAGUGGGAGGAGAUUGCUGGGAGCGCUUCUGCCCCCUUGCAUUGGUUACAGCCCAUAAAAACAUGCCAGGAAUUUGCCACAGCAGUCCCUCGCACUCCUGCAGAACCUGUGAAAGCAGCCUUUGUUCCCCGAGCUGCUCGGGCACCUCCGACCUGCACGUGUGGGACGGGGCGGGGGUCUGCGGAGCUGCUCGGGUGCUGCCGUGGGGAUGGAGGCACUGAGCCAGGCCCUGGGCAAAGCGUUCCCCGUUGUCCUACCCCAGCGUGGGGCAAGCGGUGCUGAGCGCUGCCAGGACGCAGCAGAAGGACGGGCAGAGUUUAAUGCCUCACAGCACGCCCCGCGCGAGCAGAGCUUUAGCCCUGUGCUGCUUAAGCUGAGUCAGAGGAACGGAAAUCCCGUCUUACACAGGCGUUUUUCCAUGAGCAAGAGGUUAAGCGUUCCGUUCCAGGCUUGGGGCUGGAUCUCGUGCCCACCUCGCAGAGCUCCCAAGGGGCUGUGUCAAGCAUCACGGCCUACUGGGGGCCGACAAGGGGCUGGGAGCAGGAGGGAUGCGGGGUGGGAUGCACAGGUGGGGUGCGUGGGCAGGAUGCACAGGUGGGACGUGCAGGUGGGACGCACGGGUGGGAUGCGUGGGCAGGAUGUGCCCCCGCCGCAGCCUGCACACAGUGGCUGGCACCCAGCCCAGAGCGCAGCUCUGGGAAUGUAUAAGUGCCUGUUUUGUUUUUGAGGGAAGCCCAAAAUGCUUCGGCGAGGACAAAACCUCUUCCUCGAUCCGCUUUCAAAGGUCUCGUUUUCUCUAAGGGACCAAACUGACCUGGCAGGGAGCGACUGACCGGGUCCAUCAGCCAGCUUGGAGGGGGCAAAUCUGGAGCUGCAGAGGCUCCCCCUGAAACGGCGGCUGGCCGGGCUGAGAUCUGGCACCCACCCGGCCCCCUCCAGCAGUGUCCCCAGGUGCUGGUGGCCCCGGUGACUUGCACGGCACAGAAGAGCCCGGCGUGACUCAGCAAGCGCCGGGUGCCAGGCCAGGGCUUUGGCGCUGUGACCGUCCCCCAGCAACGCCGACACCUGCAAUUCCGGCAGAGCCUGGGCUGGCUUAAGGCACCGUGUUACUUAAAUAUUUUAUAGAAAAUCAUUAAGCAAUUAAAUCUGGCAGUUCUCUCAUCGUAUGAAAA
Long non-coding RNA from Cygnus atratus (black swan), 3183 nucleotides. RefSeq lists it as uncharacterized. Lineage: Eukaryota; Metazoa; Chordata; Aves; Anseriformes; Anatidae. The transcript has 3 exons. The record is from RefSeq and is a predicted model, not a curated record.